Peromyscus maniculatus bairdii (prairie deer mouse) is the source of this 2714-nucleotide non-coding RNA. The record is from RefSeq and is a predicted model, not a curated record. Lineage: Eukaryota; Metazoa; Chordata; Mammalia; Rodentia; Cricetidae.
AUGGGCAGUGGGAAAAGCAGCUCCUUAGAUAUGUGUAAAAAGAGGAGAAAAGCCAGCGAAAAUGACCCGGAAGAACUUGUAUCCUAAAGGAAAGGCCUCUUUCUAGCUGGCAGGAACAUGCUAUUUGGGGGAGCCGACGGCGGCGGCAUAGACGAGGCUGGACUAAGGUAGGAGUAGGCGGAAGGUCCUGGGUCCAGGAAGCAAGUGGGAAGCGAGGACAGGCAGAAUACCACCGGACUUUAGGCUCAGCAAGUUUUCGUUUCAGAAUUCUUUCUGGCUAGAGCUGGUGACACAUACUGGAGCCUCAGCCCCUGGCCAGGCUGGUGUGGAGUGAGCCCCGAGGCCAGGAAUUCCUUUCUGUACAAUAAAAGGCAAUAUCAGCUGCCUAGGAGAGGGAAGGGAUGGCGUGAGUGGGCUGAAGGGGGGGGUUGAGGGGUUGGGAAGAGGGUGCCUGUCUGGAAUACACGGAGGGAUACCAGGGAAUCGUGCAUCUCAGGCUCCGGAUAUCCCCAGCUUAAGGGGGUUUUCUGGAGAGAUGAAUCGGCAAAGAAACUGGUCAACAUCUUAUGAUCCCUGAGGAGUGGCAGCCGAAGUGAUGAGUCUUAGUAUUUCAGAAACACAGUAAAGAAAAUGGAGCCAAGCUGGCGGUCCGGAGGAAGACGAAGGGAGCACUGGGCUGCUGGCGGGAAAGGUGAGGAAGAGUGACCUUCUGAGAUGGGAUAUCCAAGACUAAGGGUCCUGCAUUUCAACCACUACACUCUAAUUCCUUGGCUUAUUUUCUCCUAAAAGAACUCAGAAGAUACCAACUUUGAAUCAGUUUGCAGCAUUGCAGGAUCUACUCUGGGAGGGUGACGAAGUGCCCAGGGCCCUGCUGACCAGCGUCCACAGACCCAGCAGUACUGACACAGCCCGGCUGACCAGGGAGUAGAGUGGAUGCUGAUGCUUGAUCUAUGGAAGCAACACUGUAGGGUGUGCUGGAUGCCGCCCUCCAUGCACAUUGUGGCUUCUGGCUGCACCCUGGCUCAUUGCCUGCAGUCCUGCAGGUGACAAACCCUCCCUGGUGAUGAUUCCCUGAAGUUCAGGUGAGGUUCUGGACCAGCAGGUCCCAGCAUCUGUCCACGCUCCACAACUCCAGAGGUUUAUGGCAGCCCAGGUAGGGUUAAUUCCCGUCCCUCUUUGCUGCUACACUCUCAAUACUCUGAUGGCCUGUCUUUGUACAUGGCUUAAGUUGGUAGAUCCUCUUUUUAAAAAACUUAGGAAUUCUGUGCUAGUGCUCAGUAGCGUUUCAGAACGAUUGCUAGUGGCUUUAAACAGUUCGAUAAGGCAGCAUAACAAAUACUUCAGGGCCCGGGAAUGAAAGCAGAGGGCAUCUGGUUUUUAGAGGAGGGCGAGCUGAACGUGAAGAGGCCUUCCUGGUGGGAGCCUGCUGGGUCCCUCCUCCAGCCUAGUGGAGGAAAAGGGAAGAUGCAGCGCUGUGUUCACAAGAGAAAACAAAACGCUAGCUCCAGAGAGUGUUAAUUUCUGCUACAAACACCGGGAGAAACAUUCUCCUUGGAGUCCUUUCUGAAAGGAUGCAUACAGGUAUUUAAAAAAAAAAAUAUCUCUAAACAUCCUCCUACACUGUAGGACCUACAGGAAGUACUGUAGUGACUUCCAUGUUAGUAGACCAGAGGGAAAACGGGAGGGGUGUGGUCAAGAACAAGGCCAUUCCAUAGGGGUCUCAUGAUCCAGUCUUGAAGCCUCUCUGGGUCUAGGCCCUCGGGUUAAAUGACUCUGCAGCUCUCUGCUCAAAGCUUUUUAAGGAAAAUUGAUCUAUUUUUUUAAAUGUGUAUGGAUGUUUUUCCUUCAUGCCUGACUUUGCACCACAUGCAGCCCUGGUGCCCAUGGAGUCUGGAAAAGAACAUUGGAUCCCCUGGCACUGAUGUUACGGUCAGUUGUGAACCACCAUAUGGAUGCUAGAAACUAAACCUGGGUCCUCUGUAAGAGCAACAGUGCUCUUAACUGAUGAACCCUCUUUCCAAGCCCCAUUCUUCAGAUUUUAGACACCGUGGAGUAACCCCGAGUUCCAAGAUUAAGCAUCUGCUAGGCUUCUGGGGCACAGUGUUGCUGCGUGGUCAGCUAGAUCUUCUGCAUGUGUUUAAUAAGCAAGCAAGCCGGGGAGCUAUUGACAAGUUCUUAUUAAGCCCGAGUUACCUACCAAGGGCAUAUGGUGGACAGAAGGUCUGGCAUGCUCAGAUUCUUCACAAAGAAUAAUUUGGUAUUUGUUCUAACAAGGUGAUCUACAACAGAUAGCCUUAAUGACUUUACCCUGAAAAAAUUUUAAAUCUUUUAUAUAUAACCAAUUGCCUAUUUAACCCAUUAAAUGAAUCUCAGUAAAGCACCCAUAGAAUAAGACUACACGUAAGGGAUGUAUCUGUCUUAUGUGUAUGAGUGUGUAUAUUUGUGUAAGGUGUAUUUGCGUGUGUGUUAAAAAGUUGAUGGUUGGAUUUAGAACUCCUGGCCCUUCUUUGUGAAAAUAAACAAGAGAAGGCUUCUCUCUAUAUUUCUUGUCAUUGGAAUUAGCACCAUAUCUGAUCCAUCACUUAUUGUGGACCAGAAAGUACAGUUUUUGUGGUGAUAUUGUGUUCCCCAAAAUAUUGUACAUUCUAAUAAACUUAUCUGGGGUCAGAGAACAGAACAGCCACUAGAUAUAAAGGCCAGAAAAUGGUGGCACA